GAAUCGCUUGAACCCAGGAGACAGAGAUGGCAGUGAGCCAGAUUGUGCCUCUGCACUCCAGGGCAACAGUGACACAUCAUCUCUAAAUAAAUAAAUAAAUCCACAGAAGGAGGAGGAGUUGUCAGUGGUGCUGCUAGCCACCAGGCACUGCAGGGUAUGGACAAUGGAGAAGUUGAACAUGCUACCAGAGCCUGCCAAAGCAAGAACUCAGAACCUACAGUGUCUCUCCAGCACCCCUUUCUGACAGUUCAUUGUUGUGCCAGCUGGCAAAGGAAAAAUAUUAUCAGAGCCCAGAUUCAUUUUCAUAGAGCAGGCAAAAAGGAUGAAUUUGGAGCUGAGAGACAAUAAGUUGCUAACUGUCACAGUCUAACCUUUUGGCUAUUUGACGUCCACAUGCACCUUUCUAUACACAUUUGAACUCUUGUUCAUGGACAAAACAAUUUUUAUUUUUUGAGACAAGGUCUCUGUUGCUCCCGCUAAAGUGCGGUGGCACAAUCAUAGCUUACUGCAGGCUUUGAACUCCUGGGCUCAAGCGAUCCUCCUGCCUCAGCCUCACAAGUAUC
RNAcentral lists this long non-coding RNA (563 nucleotides) under Homo sapiens (human). RNAcentral's name for it is "non-protein coding lnc-ZPBP2-2:1". The record is from RNAcentral. Lineage: Eukaryota; Metazoa; Chordata; Mammalia; Primates; Hominidae.